UUGGAAUGAUGGGAAUGUAAAACCCUUCCAGAGUAACAAUUGGAGGGCAAGUCUGGUGCCAGCAGCCGCGGUAAUUCCAGCUCCAAUAGUGUAUAUUAGAGUUGUUGCAGUUAAAAAGCUCGUAGUUGGAUUUCUGUCCCAGUGAGUGGGCGGCGCCCGUAUGGGUGUUUGCAUGCACUGACUGGGGCUUGCUUCCGGAAGCCUCCCCCGCUGCUUUGUUGGCGGUGGGGUUGGGGAGCUUUUUUUUUUUUAAAAAAAAAAUGUUGUUUCCAGGCUGGUCGCGCUCAUGAAUGCUGCAGGGAGGAAUAAUAUAAGACGACCGGGCUUCUUUGUUGUUGUUUGUAA
Molecule: ribosomal RNA, 345 nt
Filed under: Eimeria sp.
Lineage: Eukaryota; Apicomplexa; Conoidasida; Eucoccidiorida; Eimeriidae
Description: partial small subunit ribosomal RNA
Rfam family: Eukaryotic small subunit ribosomal RNA
Source: RNAcentral